Long non-coding RNA from Oxyura jamaicensis (ruddy duck), 5780 nucleotides. RefSeq lists it as uncharacterized. Lineage: Eukaryota; Metazoa; Chordata; Aves; Anseriformes; Anatidae. The transcript is spliced from 4 exons. The record is from RefSeq and is a predicted model, not a curated record.
AGCAGGGGCCGAAUCUCUCCUGGCCUGGGUCUGCCCCCUCGCCUCUCCCCGCAUGCCGCGGGCUGCACGUGAGCGGCCCCGCUUCGGGCGGCGGCGAGGAUUGAUUUCUUGAUUACAGUCUAAUGCGUCGUAUAAUUAAGGAAAUCCUCACGCUUCUGAAAGUCAUUAGGAGACGGUUAAUUGGGAUGGGGCUGGGAGCUGCCUGCUGCGGGGGGGCGCAUGGUGGCUCCCGGGGCUUGGAGAUGUUGCGAGCUGCAGCUGCCGCUCCUGGUCCUGGCCAACCCCUCGGCCUUUCCUCCUCCAGUCUUGGCACGGAUCGUGUUUGCCAUAUUUCUGCUCAUCGCUGUGCUUUUUCUCCUGAUGCUUCCCAGCCCGACAUGCAGUGCCCCGAGCUGUGCACCGCGAUCCAGCCUCUGGAUGCAGGGUGCAGGAUGCUCCUUUCCCAGCUGUGCUGUGCCCUGCUCCUGGCUGUAACAUUUUACGAAGAUGGAUGGAUUUUCAGUCCCACAGAUGCCUAAGUGCGUCGUGCUUGCAGAGUUUGGUUUUGCUCACCCUGCGGUGCUGUGUAAAACUGCUGCAGUGUCAUAAGCAUGUGGGUGGCCACUGAAGAACAGGGGGAACUCUGACAAUAAUUUUUUUUGGUCGUGCCUUGGAACGGAAGGCAAACGGGAAUCUGACCACAUCUCCCGGCACUCGGCAGUGAUUUGAAAUCCACAGCACGCGGUGUGCUGAGGCAGUGUCCUGCACUGCAAGGAGAGGGACCAGCAAGCAGUAAUUCUGAUUUUUUUAACGCAUCAUGAACCAGCUUACUGGAGUCUAUCCGGUACUGCAUCUCAGUUAAACAUCUCAAAAUGCAGGGGAACAGGGAAAAAAAAAGAACAGAUUUAAAAUUACCAUCAGCAACGCAGUUUACACAGGGUUGGAAUGUGAUGGAGAAGUUCUAAAUCUCAGAGUGAGUGACAGAUUCAGGUGGCAAAUACUCUGGAAAGAAGCCCAGUGCCGGUGGUCCCGGUGGUGCCAGAGGGGCAGGGUGCAGCCCUGCAGGGCCUGCGGGAGGCUGAACUGGAAUCCCACAUGCUGCAAAAAGAUCUGAUCCCCGACACAGGCUGCGCUUUCAAGGUCAUUUCGUUCUGCUCCAGGGUGCAGGGAAUUGUAUUUCUGAGCUUUUCCAGAUUAAGGGACAUAUGAGCAGCAGGCCUGAAUUUCUCCUUGGCUUUUUGUGGUUUUUGCUUAGGAUUGGAAUGUCAGUCAAGAUGCUCGUGUUUAAGUCAGGAAACCUGGACUGUGCACAAACGCCAAGAGAGACCCCCUUUACAGGGCAGCUUGCUGCAGAGCAUUUCAUGCACAGUGCAAGGCCUGCUGGACUUAGGUACCUGCCUCAUCCCGCCCACGAUGGAUCCAGCACUGCACCACCGAGGUCUCAGGAGCAUCAGGCUUUACCUGGGCUAUGUAACGGGGAGCCCAGGUAAAGCACAAAGGUUCCUUGUACAAAGCUAAUGUUCCCCUCGCCCUGGCAGUGAGACAAGGAAGUACGAACCUUUGAGUGCCUUGGACACCUGAAAGUACAGCUCAGCUGUACCAAGUACUAGAGUUCUUACCCAAAAUAAUCUGUAGUCUAUCCAGUUAAAGAACUCCUUCAUCUCCUCAGCUCCACAUGCGUGGGAAGCACAGUGCUCAGCAUUGGUCAUCAUUGAGUAAGUCUAGAUCAAAUAGAGCGAAACAGACAGUUCUGAUGCUGGAGUCAUUAAAUCUUUGGCUAAGCUAAAAAGGCAGAGUGAAUAAUGUUUUUAAUAUGCUCAGGAAAUCCUCCAUAUCGGAUGAGAUCAGAAGAAGCCAUUAGCAAGGACGGAUGGGGAUUCUUCUCCAAACAAAGGCAGAUACUGGGUAAUUGCAGCUCUAUAAACACAGCAUCACUUAAAAUAUUCAAUAAUUCACCCUGCAUCUGGGAAAACAUCAGAACUUUGUAUUUAAUAUAAAGGUGGAUGGGUGAAAAAUAAUUAGGACCCUUACAGUUCCACACUUACUUUUCUAAUCUGUAUUGUGCUCAGGCCAUUAUAUAUUUAAAGGGUUUAUUCUGUGCUAAUGGGAAUGGUAUUGCCAAAUUCAUCUCAUGCUCAGAGAAGAGCCUUCACCAUCUUUGUUUUUCUGAAUUAAAGGACAAAGACAAGGAUUUUUCUGAAUACCCUCUCUUUUAUUUUUUUCAUAAAAGCCUAAAGAAACGCUUGCUUUUCAGAUUAUAUCUUCUUUCUGACAACAAAUUCCACUUUGUCUAGAGAGAAAAGAUGAGAAAACAGCAAAACCUGUAACUUAAUAUAACACUACAUGCUGAGAUAGCACAGGUUUUCAUUAGCUCCUAACAGCAGAGGAGCAUUUGAGUGGUUCUCAAGCAUCCGUUAACCCUGAAAACAUCACAAAAGCACAAGAGCAGUGUGAUAACAAUUUUAUGGGGAGCAAAUAUGCGGUCAACUUAUCCAGCAGCCCAUGGCUCUGCCUCCAAGCACCUUUCAGAUUAGCUGUUAGCCAACUUGCUGUACGUCUCCUUCGCUUAAUGUCGUGCUAUAAAUCACAGUGUACAAUUUAAGAAGGAAGUCUGUGCUGGGCUAGCAGUCGUCAUUGCUAGUAAUGGACUCAAGCUGCAAAAUUUGGAUUCAAAGCUCAGAGCUGUUUGGAUUUAGGGUUUUAGGUUGCCCAUUAUAGAAAUAAGAAACAGAUGGGAUUUGCAGGCCUGGUUCGGACUCCACGCUUCUCAUAAGGCCCAUUUCCUUGUUCCUGGAUCUGAAGGCCGCAUCUGAGGCAAGGAGACACCUCAACAAGUGGCUGGGCCUAGCAGGCCUGUGAGCUGCUCAUGGUGGCCCAGAGUAACGUAUCAUGAGGGAGACCACAGGAGAAAUGAGGGGAAUUUUGACUAAAAAGAUUUCCCAAGGGUUCUGGGGAGACCCUGUAUCACUGGAAGAAGAAACUCCAAAGCAAGGCUAUGGAAGGAAGCAGAGGAUGGACCUGUAUUCACAGCUGACCCUGUGGGUCAUGGGAAGGGGAGGAAAGCAGUGGGUGCAUGCAGCUCAUCACCAUCUGAUUUUGGGAGAGUAUGGAGGAGAUCUGGCUUUUCUUAAUGACUCGCUGUGAGACAAGCUCAGGCCAGGGGUUAACUCUUCCCCCACAGUCCCCUCCGUGAGCACCGAGGCUGUGAAAACAGCUGCCUUUGUGCUGCAGUCCUAAUAUAGAACAAAAGUGUAGUAUUUUGUCCUAGAUUGAACAGCUGGGGAAAUAAAACUACUUUGGGUGGUAGGAGGUGCUGCCACAUACACAAGAGGACAAUUCCAAGACAGUUUAGGAUGGAUAUCUGCUUAUUUUCCACUCAUAGAAAUACAUAUAAUUCAUAGCUGUGGUGCACUCUAAUGGGAACGUGGAGUAAAUUAUUGAUUUAUCACAUCUGAUAAGGAAGUCAGGAGAACAAUAAUCCUGUCUAGCACACAGAAAUAGAUUAGAAGCCUCCCACGGGCUGUAACCGAAGUGUAGGUGUGAGGCGUUCCUAAAAUCGCCAUGAGCUUUCAGUGCUGCACGUACCACAGGCCUAGAGUCAGGGUGCUUCGGGUGGAUGCCCGUGGCUUGUACGAUCACCACGGGAUCAUUCCCAAUAUGCAGCCCCUCACCUGCCUGCCAUGUGUGAGCAGGCAGACGGACAGAUGGACAGACUGAGCCCUGUGUGAGAAUGAGGACAGCUGAGCCAUGCCGAGUCCUCCGGCCCGUGACCUUUUUGUGCGUGCUGGCACCUGGCAGUGGCAGCAGCAAUCACUUGUGUGCGGCCUCGGAAACAGCUGCGGGUCUGACACGUCUGACACUGUGGUUAAAUUUAAAAAGGGUGAUGCAGGAGUAUGUGUGAGGGUGGUAAAUUAACAAAAUUAAUUGCUGGCAUGUCAUAGACCAACUUGAAAGAAAACAGGGUUUUAAGAUAAACAGUUGGGGCUUGUAGUGGGCAAGCCAUGUCUCUUCUACUGAGCACAGCAAGGUUUGUGCAGAAACGUUGCCGAAGCUGGGGUGCUGAGACCUGAUCCUGCACCUGUGGCUCGCUGUGGGCCAGAUCCUGGCUGUGGCCAUGAGCAGACGAACCUCAGGUGCCCUCAGGCAGGCACAGGCCUCGGUGCAUACUGCACAGUUCUGCCUCCCUGUUCUUCCCUGCAGUAUUUCUUAGCAGAAACCUGUGAAGGUGUCUCUGAGUAACCUGGCUGUUCUGGCAGACCAUGGGCUCUUGUUUUCUGUGGAGCUAAGCACAAGGCUAUUAGGUGUGCAGGAGAAAGGCUAAGGCAUCUGGUCCUGUCUUCAGAAAGAAGCAAUCUGUAACAAGUGGAGGAAAAAUUGAAAGAAAACUUGUCAAUUCAUAAAUGUUUUGUGGCAAGGCAUUCUAAGAUAGCAGAUGGCAGUGUAAAGGGGCAUUUGCUUUUUGCUGUGUCUAACACCUUCUUUCUCUGUUUUAAGAAUAAUGCUUUUCCAAUAACAGCUCAGAGCCAGUGCCACAGAAAUCCUGGCUGACAGAAGAACUGCUGGUCGGCUGACAGGAGCACGGCUUGUGGGAACUUCAGGCUAUUUUCUUUGUCAGUAGUGAAAUUAAAGCUCGGGGAUCUGUCUUCUAAAAUGUGGCCCUACUUUCCACAGGCACAAAGCAAUUAUGUCUUCACUUGCUCAAUGUAAUUAAUAGAUGUGGUUUCCUUCACAAGCAUCAAGGGAUGCCAUGUUCAUCAUGGAACGGACUGCUCUGUCCAGAGCAAGGACAAGAAAAUUCCUCAGGAACCUGGGACUCUCCUCUGGGAAGAGCAAUAAAUCUGUUGUGCACCUCAAGGGAUUGGAAUAUUCACCAUAUCCUAUUACCUCUCUGCUCAUCAGAAGGGAAAAGAUAUCCUCUGCGCAGAAACAAAAAAAGACAUCCUCAGGGGUAAUUCAGUACAGGAAGCUGGCAAAGCUGCAGCCCUCUAUCACCUUUACAUGUAAUUUGCAAUUAUGUGUAAAGCUAGACCUUAGGAAAAGAGCAAUUUCAGUCUUCCUGGCUAGCCUGAAAGUCACCAUGCUACCCUGUGUAGCACAGUUACUGACAGAGCAGCUGUGCGGGUAGAGAUGUAUUUUUACAGAGUUAUUAGAGCAGGGAAUUGUGCGGGGAUUACUGGGUUCUUCUCCCAGCUCUGCCUUUGAUUUGUGGUGUGCGCAGACCCCUUAAUUUGUUUCUGUUUUCCCCAUCUGUGAAACUGAGAUAACAUCACAAGGGAAUUGUAGAGUGUGAUUCAUUAAUGUUUAUUAGACAGAGGGAAAUCCUUAAAUGAAUGGCACUGUAUUCCAGGAGGACAAAGUUCAGGACUGCAAAGAGGCUGAUUAAACCCAAAUCUGCGAUUCCCAGGCUAGGAGGACAAAAAAGAAAAUUGAAAAACCUUACCUACCCCUGUGCGUGCCAAAAGCAGUAUGUGAUUUAAAUAGAAUCAAGUAGAAUGUGCAUGUCUGCAUGCAUUCAUACAUACACAUGUAUCUAUGAAAACCAUAUAAUAAUGUAAUAAAAAUUAUCAGUAAAAGACUACCAAAAAGUGUGUUUGAAGUUUCCAGUAGGAAAUAGUAAAGCAGUGUAUAUGAUAACUGAGCAAGCUACUAGCAGCAAUACAGCAUUAGUACAUCGUGAGGAAAUAAAUAUGAUACGCUUUCAUAAAGGGAUGCAACAGCAUACAGCACAUUGACGUGUUCCAUUAUGUACCUAAGUGAACAGAGCUGUAGAAUGAUUAUAGCAAUCUUACUGCCAGGCUGAU